UUACGGCCACAUCUCGUUGAAACAUCGGUUCCCAUAGGAUCUCCGAAGUUAAGCAACGUUGGAUCUGGUCAAUACCGAGAUAAGUGACCGCUUGGAAAUAUCAGGUGCUGUAGG
Molecule: non-coding RNA, 114 nt
Organism: Acanthosepion pharaonis
Lineage: Eukaryota; Metazoa; Mollusca; Cephalopoda; Sepiida; Sepiidae
Source: the annotation of a GenBank genome assembly